This 75-nucleotide transfer RNA is filed under the name Picrophilus oshimae DSM 9789. RNAcentral describes it as "tRNA_Met_CAT". It matches the Rfam family "tRNA". From Rfam's summary of the family: Transfer RNA (tRNA) molecules are approximately 80 nucleotides in length. Their secondary structure includes four short double-helical elements and three loops (D, anti-codon, and T loops). Further hydrogen bonds mediate the characteristic L-shaped molecular structure. tRNAs have two regions of fundamental functional importance: the anti-codon, which is responsible for specific mRNA codon recognition, and the 3' end, to which the tRNAs corresponding amino acid is attached (by aminoacyl-tRNA synthetases). tRNAs cope with the degeneracy of the genetic code in two manners: having more than one tRNA (with a specific anti-codon) for a particular amino acid; and 'wobble' base-pairing, i.e. permitting non-standard base-pairing at the 3rd anti-codon position. Lineage: Archaea; Methanobacteriati; Thermoplasmatota; Thermoplasmata; Thermoplasmatales; Picrophilaceae. The record is from RNAcentral.
GCCGGGAUGGCUUAGUUGGAAGAGCGCCGGACUCAUAAUAUCCGGAGGUCUCGGGUUCAAUCCCCGAUCCCGGCA